Long non-coding RNA from Homo sapiens (human), 538 nucleotides. RefSeq lists it as uncharacterized. Lineage: Eukaryota; Metazoa; Chordata; Mammalia; Primates; Hominidae. The transcript is spliced from 2 exons. The record is from RefSeq and is a predicted model, not a curated record.
UUUCGUUUACUAGGAUUCCCUCGCGAUCCGCAGCAGAGUUCCUCACACUGCGCACCACCCGCGGGGUCUGUCCCACAGACCUUGGCUGAUGGAUGAAAUGAGUACUCAAAGACACAGAGGGAGGCAUUGCAGAGAGACCCCUUUCAAAGCACACAGGAAGUGGCUGAAGUCAAUAAAGAAACAGAAGAACAAUUUGAAUGAAGAUGGAUCAAAAAGAAGACAGACAUUUCUAAAAAGCCAUCUUUAAAUAUACCAUUUUACAAGCUCCCUAGUAAAUAUCUUGAGACAAAAUUGGAUGACUACACAUUUAGCAUGUUAUCAUGAUGCUUUGAAAAUAUGUAUGUGUACAUAUAUAUGUAAUAUUUAUACACAAAAUGUAUAACAUAAUAUUUCAUAUGAUAAUAAAUAUAAAUGUAAAUAUAAAUUUGACUUAAGAAGGGAGUAUAUGUUGAUAGCGUUGAAGUAAGCUUAGAUGAUCACCUUAAAUGUUGUUACUGUCUUUGUUGCCAUAGAAUAAACACUUAAAGAGAAAUAACAA